GACGAACGCUGGCGGCGUGCUUAACACAUGCAAGUCGAACGGAAAGGCCCUGCUUUUGUGGGGUGCUCGAGUGGCGAACGGGUGAGUAACACGUGAGUAACCUGCCCUUGACUUUGGGAUAACUUCAGGAAACUGGGGCUAAUACCGGAUAGGAGCUCCUGCUGCAUGGUGGGGGUUGGAAAGUUUCGGCGGUAGGGGAUGGACUCGCGGCUUAUCAGCUUGUUGGUGGGGUAGUGGCUUACCAAGGCUUUGACGGGUAGCCGGCCUGAGAGGGUGACCGGCCACAUUGGGACUGAGAUACGGCCCAGACUCCUACGGGAGGCAGCAGUGGGGAAUAUUGCACAAUGGGCGGAAGCCUGAUGCAGCAACGCCGCGUGCGGGAUGACGGCCUUCGGGUUGUAAACCGCUUUCGCCUGUGACGAAGCGUGAGUGACGGUAAUGGGUAAAGAAGCACCGGCUAACUACGUG
Molecule: ribosomal RNA, 468 nt
Filed under: uncultured bacterium
Lineage: Bacteria
Description: partial 16S ribosomal RNA
Rfam family: Bacterial small subunit ribosomal RNA
Source: RNAcentral